Long non-coding RNA from Penaeus monodon (black tiger shrimp), 514 nucleotides. RefSeq lists it as uncharacterized. Lineage: Eukaryota; Metazoa; Arthropoda; Malacostraca; Decapoda; Penaeidae. The record is from RefSeq and is a predicted model, not a curated record. The transcript is spliced from 4 exons.
CGAACCCGUGUAUAAAAGCCUGGAACCCAACACUGGACUUAUAGUCGUAGUGCAGCCGAGCUUUGCAGCAGCUCAAAGUCUACUCAAUUUCCACAUCCUAUAAAUACAGGUUAUUUCCGUCUGCAAAAUGAAGCUCUUGGCCAUUGCUGUCAUCUUGUGCCUCGCUGUGGUGUACACUCAGGCUUCACCAGCCGAAAUGCCAUCUUCACCACUGCUGCUUAGUCGGGGGGCCAGGUCACCUCACUUCCCUCACCGAGACUGUAUCCCGUGUACUUGCAUAAAGAAGGUCACAAUCAUCACCAAAAUCGAAUACGAAGUCAUUCCACCAUCCACCAGGUUCGGCGGCAGCCAACGGUGCUGCCCAUGCCCUAACUUCUAAUGCCGCUGUUUCUCAUGGACCGAUGACGCCAAUCUUCUGAUUAUGUUCUAGACGGAAAAUCAGAAAAAUCAAGAAAGAAAACACUCACUGUUAUUGAAUAUUUUUAUAUGCAAAUAAAAUUGAUAUAACUAAUCA